RNAcentral lists this non-coding RNA (21 nucleotides) under Caenorhabditis elegans. Lineage: Eukaryota; Metazoa; Nematoda; Chromadorea; Rhabditida; Rhabditidae. The record is from RNAcentral.
UAUCCAUAUAAUGUUAAAAGG